RNAcentral lists this unclassified non-coding RNA (336 nucleotides) under soil metagenome. Its description in RNAcentral is "partial contains 5.8S ribosomal RNA, internal transcribed spacer 2, and large subunit ribosomal RNA". The stretch from base 1 to 120 matches the Rfam family "5.8S ribosomal RNA", at positions 35 to 154 of the family's 154-position model. The record is from RNAcentral.
GAUGAAGAACGUAGUGAAAUGCGAUAAGUAGUGUGAAUUGCAGAAUUCAGUGAAUCAUCGAAUCUUUGAACGCACAUUGCGCCCCUUGGUAUUCCAUGGGGCAUGCCUGUUCGAGCGUCAUUUGUACCUUCAAGCUUUGCUUGGUGUUGGGUGUUUGUCUCGCCUUUGAGUGUAGACUCGCCUUAAAAUAAUUGGCAGCCGGCGUAUUGAUUUCGGAGCGCAGUACAUCUCGCGCUUUGCACUCAUAACGACAGCGUCCAAAAGUACAUUUUACACUCUUGACCUCGGAUCAGGUAGGGAUACCCGCUGAACUUAAGCAUAUCAAUAAGCGGAGGA